Molecule: ribosomal RNA, 369 nt
Filed under: uncultured organism
Description: bacterial SSU rRNA
Rfam family: Bacterial small subunit ribosomal RNA
Source: RNAcentral
CGGAGGGUGCAAGCGUUAUCCGGAUUUACUGGGUUUAAAGGGUGUGUAGGCGGGCUAUUAAGUCAGUGGUGAAAUCUCCGGGCUCAACCUGGAAACUGCCAUUGAUACUAUUAGUCUUGAAUUUUGUUGAGGUAGGCGGAAUAAGUCAUGUAGCGGUGAAAUGCAUAGAUAUGACUUAGAACACCAAUUGCGAAGGCAGCUUGCUAAACAAAUAUUGACGCUGAGGCACGAAAGCGUGGGGGAUCAAACAGGAUUAGAUACCCUGGUAGUCCACGCCCUAAACGAUGAUUACUCGACAUACGCGAUACACAGUGUGUGUCUGAGCGAAAGCAUUAAGUAAUCCACCUGGGAAGUACGACCGCAAGGUUG